Molecule: ribosomal RNA, 434 nt
Filed under: uncultured Ruminococcus sp.
Lineage: Bacteria; Bacillati; Bacillota; Clostridia; Eubacteriales; Oscillospiraceae
Description: partial 16S ribosomal RNA
Rfam family: Bacterial small subunit ribosomal RNA
Source: RNAcentral
ACGGGAGGCAGCAGUGGGGAAUAUUGCACAAUGGAGGAAACUCUGAUGCAGCGAUGCCGCGUGAGGGAAGAAGGUUCUCGGAUUGUAAACCUCUGUCUUCAGGGACGAUAAUGACGGUACCUGAGGAGGAAGCUCCGGCUAACUACGUGCCAGCAGCCGCGGUAAUACGUAGGGAGCGAGCGUUGUCCGGAAUUACUGGGUGUAAAGGGAGCGCAGGCGGGAUGGUAAGUUAGAUGUGAAAACUAUGGGCUUAACCCAUAGACUGCAUUUAAAACUGCUGUUCUUGAGUGAAGUAGAGGCAGGCGGAAUUCCUAGUGUAGCGGUGAAAUGCGUAGAUAUUAGGAGGAACACCAGUGGCGAAGGCGGCCUGCUGGGCUUUUACUGACGCUGAGGCUCGAAAGCGUGGGGAGCAAACAGGAUUAGAUACCCUGGUA